GCGAUAGCAACUGAACCACUUCCCUGGGCAGCCUAUUCCUAGACAUUUUAAUUCAAAAGAUCAGAGAAAAUAAGGCUGGAGGAGUUGAGAGAUGCUAUAAGUCAUCCUUUCCAUCUCCAAGGUAGAUCAGCUAAAUCCUGGGCCAUUCCUCACGGUUGUCUCAAUGUUCCUGAAAACAAGGUUAGCAACAACGUACACUCCACAACCUCUAAGGCCAGGCCUUAUUUUGGUGCUUUACUACCUCAACAGUCUCUAGAUGAUGAUAUAAUAAUAAUAAAAUAAAAAUAAACAGUAGGGCUAGUGGCAUAGUGUUUUGUGUGGUUAUUUAUUUCCAUGGGCACGCCAAAUUGUUCCUUCUUUCAUCAGCAGUCAUGUGUCCUUUCGUGUGGUGUAGAGGAGCAGUCUAACAGAUAGGGGAGCUAAACUGCUUAUGGGUGCGCCAUAGUAAAAGUGACUGGAGCCAUUGAAAGUGGUAGUGUUGAGGUGUUGUCUCCUGCCACAUACUCAUUGCUCCUGCUCCACUACAGGGAUGGUGAAAGGGAAGAUGAGUCCCAUCUUGCAGGUUUCAUGUUGCAGCCUGGUGAAUUGGCUUAGUAUGGUACAUUUCUGUCCUGGUUUUGGCUGAGAUAGACCUCUGUGUGUCUGGCCUGUGAUGGUUGCUGAGUUCAUCUUUACUCAGUACCACAAUGUAAAGUGUUCAGCAUAUUUGCCAAGUUGAUUCCUGGGUUUGAGAUUAGCCCUUUACUGUGCUUUGCCAACAUGUUUUAUUAUUAUUAUUAUUAUUAUUUAUUUAUUUAUUUAUUUAUUUAUUAAUGCUUAAUUAGCACUCGUGUUAAACUAAACCAUAUAGAUGUUUCCAUCUUGCCAUGUUACUUCCUUCAAAGUGGUAGAAGAAUUAAAAAUGAUGGGCUGAGAGUCUUUUCUUCCUGUAUUUUGUCUUGUAUAGUUUUCUCUAAACCACUACCAGCUUCUCCGGGUAUUUAGAAGAUGAUAAUGCUUGGUGUAACAACAGUGAAUUAAGCUGCAGAAAAACACUUAACACCGAUUUUGAAAUUGUGAGGGUGUACAAAUGGAGCUAGGCAGCUCUGUUUAUAUGACUUAUAUGACCUGAUAUUAAAAUUUCAUGUAGUUACUUGGUUAAUUGAAUUUAAAUAAGUGUGUGGUUUAUUAAGCUGUUUAUUAAACUGGGGCACUCUUUGAAAUCAAGGAAUCCUAAGGUCAAAAUAUUUUCAGACAUCUACAUUUAGAUACGAUUCCUUAAAAUGAGCUACUCAGUGCUUUGAAUAUGUUAGUGAAGAAAAAGUUGUUGGUUGGCUUGAUAGACCAUUAAGGAACUGAGAUUUCCCGUCUAAGCAAAAGUGCCCCAUUCUCCAUGGACAU
This 1380-nucleotide long non-coding RNA is filed under the name Cairina moschata (Muscovy duck). RNAcentral describes it as "domestica (muscovy Duck (domestic type)) lncRNA (ENSCMMG00000000105.1)". The record is from RNAcentral. Lineage: Eukaryota; Metazoa; Chordata; Aves; Anseriformes; Anatidae.